Molecule: transfer RNA, 74 nt
Organism: Fonticula alba
Lineage: Eukaryota; Rotosphaerida; Fonticulaceae
Rfam family: tRNA
About the family: Transfer RNA (tRNA) molecules are approximately 80 nucleotides in length. Their secondary structure includes four short double-helical elements and three loops (D, anti-codon, and T loops).
Source: Rfam
AUGCUUGUAGCUUAACUGGAUAGAGCGUUAGAAUACGAAUCUAAAGGUUAGAAGUUCGAAUCUUCUCAGGCAUA